UAGAGGAGUGGCUUUCGGAGCUAACGCGUUAAAUCGACCGCCUGGGGAGUACGGCCGCAAGGUUAAAACUCAAAUGAAUUGACGGGGGCCCGCACAAGCGGUGGAGCAUGUGGUUUAAUUCGAUGCAACGCGAAGAACCUUACCUACUCUUGACAUCCAGAGAAUUUAGCAGAGAUGCUUUAGUGCCUUCGGGAACUCUGAGACAGGUGCUGCAUGGCUGUCGUCAGCUCGUGUUGUGAAAUGUUGGGUUAAGUCCCGCAACGAGCGCAACCCUUNUCCUUUGUUGCCAGCGAUUCGGUCGGGAACUCAAAGGAGACUGCCGGUGAUAAACCGGAGGAAGGUGGGGAUGACGUCAAGUCAUCAUGGCCCUUACGAGUAGGGCUACACACGUGCUACAAUGGCGUAUACAAAGAGAAGCGACCUCGCGAGAGCAAGCGGAACUCAUAAAGUACGUCGUAGUCCGGAUUGGAGUCUGCAACUCGACUCCAUGAAGUCGGAGUCGCUAGUAAUCGUAGAUCAGAAUGCUACGGUGAAUACGUUCCCGGGCCUUGUACACACCGCCCGUCNCNCCAUNGGAGUGGGUUGCAAAAGAAGU
RNAcentral lists this ribosomal RNA (595 nucleotides) under uncultured bacterium. Its description in RNAcentral is "bacterial SSU rRNA". It matches the Rfam family "Bacterial small subunit ribosomal RNA", at positions 832 to 1427 of the family's 1533-position model. The record is from RNAcentral.